GAGGUGGGAGGAUCGUUUGAGCCCGGGAGGUUGAGACUGCAGUGAACUGUGAUCACACCACUGCACUCCAGCCUGAGUGACAGAGCAGACUUG
This 93-nucleotide microRNA precursor is filed under the name Rhinopithecus bieti (black snub-nosed monkey). Its description in RNAcentral is "miRNA (ENSRBIG00000022514.1)". Lineage: Eukaryota; Metazoa; Chordata; Mammalia; Primates; Cercopithecidae. The record is from RNAcentral.